GACGGAGGGUGCUAGCGUUGUUCGGAAUCACUGGGCGUAAAGGGCGCGUAGGCGGCCAGGCAAGUCGGCUUGUGAAAGCCCGGGGCUCAACCCCGGAGGUGCGGCCGGGACUGCUUGGCUGGAGGCCGGAAGAGGAGGGUGGAAUACCCAGUGUAGAGGUGAAAUUCGUAGAUAUUGGGUGGAACACCGGUGGCGAAAGCGGCUCUCUGGUCCGGACCUGACGCUGAGGCGCGAAAGCGUGGGGAGCAAACAGG
This 254-nucleotide ribosomal RNA is filed under the name uncultured bacterium. RNAcentral's name for it is "partial 16S ribosomal RNA". It matches the Rfam family "Bacterial small subunit ribosomal RNA", at positions 524 to 776 of the family's 1533-position model. The record is from RNAcentral.